GACAGAGGCCUCAAGCGUUAGGCGGAAUCACUGGGCUUAAAGCGCGUGUAGGUGGAUUUUAAGUGCCUUGUGAAAUCCCACGGCUCACCCGUGGAACUGCUGGGUAUACUGGCGGUCUUGGGCCAACUAGGGGCAGCUGGAACAAGCGGUGGAGCGGUGAAAUGCGUAGAUAUCGCUUGGAACGCCGAAGGUGAAAACAGGCUGACUGGGGUUGUGCCGACGGC
Molecule: ribosomal RNA, 224 nt
Filed under: uncultured bacterium
Lineage: Bacteria
Description: partial 16S ribosomal RNA
Rfam family: Bacterial small subunit ribosomal RNA
Source: RNAcentral